GACGAACGCUGGCGGUGUGCUUAACACAUGCAAGUCGAACGGUAAGGCCCUUUCGGGGGUACACGAGCGGCGAACGGGUGAGUAACACGUGAGUAACCUGCCCUCAUCUCUGGGAUAACAGUCGGAAACGGUUGCUAAUACUGGAUAUGAGCCUGCAAGGCAUCUUGUGGGUUGGAAAGAUUUUUUGGUUGGGGAUGGACUCGCGGCCUAUCAGCUUGUUGGUGAGGUAGUGGCUCACCAAGGCUUCGACGGGUAGCCGGCCUGAGAGGGCGACCGGCCACAUUGGGACUGAGAUACGGCCCAAACUCCUACGGGAGGCAGCAGUGGGGAAUAUUGCACAAUGGACGGAAGUCUGAUGCAGCAACGCCGCGGGCGGGAUGACGGCCUUCGGGUUGUAAACCGCUUUCAAUUGUGACGAAGCUUUUUGUGACGGUAGCAGUAGAAGAAGCACCGGCUAACUACGUG
RNAcentral lists this ribosomal RNA (465 nucleotides) under uncultured bacterium. Its description in RNAcentral is "partial 16S ribosomal RNA". It matches the Rfam family "Bacterial small subunit ribosomal RNA", at positions 28 to 507 of the family's 1533-position model. The record is from RNAcentral.